RNAcentral lists this ribosomal RNA (305 nucleotides) under uncultured bacterium. Its description in RNAcentral is "bacterial SSU rRNA". It matches the Rfam family "Bacterial small subunit ribosomal RNA", at positions 334 to 640 of the family's 1533-position model. The record is from RNAcentral.
UAUUCCUACGGGACGCAGCAGUGGGGAAUAUUGCACAAUGGGGGGAACCCUGAUGCAGCGACGCCGCGUGGGUGAAGGAGCACCUCGGUGCGUAAAGCCCUAUCGGCAGGGAAGAAAAGCGAACAGGUUCGCCUGGACGGUACCUGACUAAGAAGCCCCGGCUAACUACGUGCCAGCAGCCGCGGUAAUACGUAGGGGGCGAGCGUUAUCCGGAUUCACUGGGUGUAAAGGGAGCGUAGACGGCCAAGCAAGCCAGGGGUGAAAGCCCGGGGCCCAACCCCGGGACUGCCCUUGGAACUGCAUGG